This 158-nucleotide unclassified non-coding RNA is filed under the name Spinocalanidae sp. 2012JH190. Its description in RNAcentral is "partial ITS2". The record is from RNAcentral. Lineage: Eukaryota; Metazoa; Arthropoda; Copepoda; Calanoida; Spinocalanidae.
GGGAGUCGCGCUCGGCAACACCGAACGCGCUGCCUCAAAGUCUACCCUGCGGAGUUCGCUCGCCUCGACUCUUGGACCUCACCGUCUGGGUCGACCCGUGUCCCCGCUUGCCGUACGGUGCCCCGCUCAGUCGGUGCCGCACCAAACCUCAACCACCU